RNAcentral lists this long non-coding RNA (38114 nucleotides) under Populus tremula. RNAcentral's name for it is "long non-coding RNA (PTRE_LNC000742)". The record is from RNAcentral. Lineage: Eukaryota; Viridiplantae; Streptophyta; Magnoliopsida; Malpighiales; Salicaceae.
ACUGAGUAAUAAAAGCUCAGAACUUUAACAUUCAUACCAAUAAUUAAACCAUCCAUAAACCAGCAUAACAAGGUUCACAACUUUAACAUUUAUACUAAUCAAUCCAUACGUUUAAACCCCCCCAUAAAACAGUCAAACCUAGCAACCCCCAUUGCUCAGAAAGAUGUAGAUUCGACAGAUAAGCACAGACCCAUGAUAGAACAAGAGAAACUACGAUCUGGGUUGGAAUCAGAAAGGACUAAAACUAAAACUCACUGGUUUUGACUUUUGAGAGGUUGAGCCGUUGAGGAAACGUCGGUCGCCGGUGGUCGGUCUAAGGAGAGUGGAGACUGGAGAGUGGAGAGGAGAGGCGAGGGGGCAAGAGGGGACAGGGGGUGAGCCGGUGAGGGGAAGGGGGGGCGUUUAGCCGUGAGAGUGAGAAAGAGAAUCAAAAGAUUGAGAAAGUUUAAUGUUCACUGUUUAGGGUUAGAUUUAGCAGAGAGAACUCAAAGAAGAGAGCUAGAGAGGGGCGCAGCGUGGAACAAAAUUUUCUAUUUAUAUCAGGGCGGAGUACAAACCCCUUUUUUUUUAAACUGGUCCGGUCCGGUUACCCGGUUUUUGCACUGCAAAACCGAAAACCGAACCGAAUCGGGAAUUUUUCUAUAUAAUCUAAUCGGUUUACUCGGUUUUUCGGUUUUUUUGCACACCCCUAGAAACAAUGGCUUUUUUUAGAUCAGGCACAUGAAUCGAUGGAGGAAAGAGAAAAUAUAAAAGAAAAUGAAGAAAAAUGGCUGUUAAAGCCAUGCCAUUACCGAGACGUCAGCACACAUCAUGUAAUUCUUGUUUAUUUUUUAUUUUUAAAAAAAAUUAAAAAAAAAUUAUUUGUUUUGAAAAAAAUUAAAAUAUAUUUUUUAAAAAAAAUUAAUAUUUUUUUGGUGUUUUUAAAUCAUUUUGAUAUGAUGAUAUCAAAAAUAAUUUUUAAAAAAUAAAAAAAAAAUAUUAUUUUAAUAUAUUUUUAAGUAAGAAGCAUUUUAAAAAAUAACUACAACCACACUCGAGCCUCGAUCAAGAUGAUUUCAACACAUUAACAAAAGCUAUCUCUGGAUGUUAGAGGAAGCCACACAUGCUGCUUAAUUGUGAUGGGCUUCCUCGUGUAUUAUCACUUACAUUGCAUGUAUCAAUUAUUUUUGUUAAUUUAAUCUUGAUUAAAUAGUUUUUUUUGUUUUUUUAUUCUUUAAUAACUCUUAUUUUUUUCAUUUGAAGCAAGAAAUAUAUGAAAAUAAAUAAAAAUAAAACUUUGAUUAUGAUUUCACCAGUAGCAAAUAAAUUCAUAAAAAAUAUAGAUAUUUUUUAAUAUGCAAAAUAAAUCAAAUGAAAAACUAAUGAAAAUAACUUUAAUAAUACCCAUAUAUCUCAAAUAUAAUUUGUGUACUGAUUAGGUCAAUUUCAAAAGUAGAAAAACACAUUUGAAAAGAUGAUGCAAAUUAUAUGCUUUUAUACAAACUAAUACUUGAAUUUAUAACACAACCCAAACAAAGUCCAAAUAACUCUAAAUCUAGUAUUUGAUGUUGUUGUACCUAGAAACCCCAAAAUAUCAAUUUUGAAGCGAUUCAAUAUCUUUUGAAUUAGUAUUUUCAUGACAAAACUAAAUCUUUUGUAUUUUAACAUAUUUCUUCUUUCUUUAUUUUAUAUUUUACCUUUAAUGUGAAACUAGACAAUAAUGUAAGAAGAGAAAACAAAAUUAACAGAAUAAAACUUUAACCAAAUCAGGCACAAAAACAAGACAUAAAGAAAAAAACAAAAAAAAAAUAUUCAAGGAAACGGAUUUAAACAACAAAAACAAAGAGGAUAUAAUCUAAUUUCAUGAGUUUAACUCUAAUACCAACUGAUACGAGCUCUAAUAAUAGAAAUCUCAAAAUCCAUAACAAAGUAGAUAAAUAACCCAAAAAAACUGAAAUUCAAGUUUAGAUAGAAAUCUUGACUCAAUGAAUAACAUUGGAUCUAAAAACCAAAAAUACUAGAAAAAAACUUGGACAUGCUAUUUAUAGUGAAACAAAAAGUCAAAAUAUACGAGGAGGAUAUCAUGAGAUCAGUUAUAUUUUUAUUUCAAUAAACGUGAUUUUACACCAAACAAAAAUGCGAAUUAUUCUGCCGAAAUUUGACAGCCAUGCAAAACAUGAAAGAUAUAUUUAUUGAACCUGCGUUUGCCGAAAUUUUAAUUUUAAUUUUUUUUGCUAAAAUUGAGUUUAGUUUGUACUUUUUAGAUCGUUUUGAUGUGCUGAUGUUAAAAAUAAUUUUUAAAAAAUAAAAAAACAUCAUUGGCAUGUAUUUCGACGCGAAAAACUAUUUAAAAAGCAACCGCUAACACACUCUUAGUAGUCGUUAAUAUGCUUCUUAUUUGAUUUUAAGAGGGUUGGUUUGGAAAAACAAUUUCUUGUCUUUGUUGAUAUAUGUUUCGAAGAUAGUGUUCAAUGAAUUGGAAUGCAGCAAUUUGGGCGUUAAUUUUUCAGCUAAAUAACAUGUUUAUUUUGUUUUUGAUCCCUUAAAACAAGAUGACCAAUCAGAGCAGUGCCCCUGCAGUUUUGGAAAACAUUGACGAGGAAGAAGUGCUCUAAGCAUGUUCUAACGAAGUUGGUUUGCGAUAGCUCCCCCGAAGUUAUGCCAUCCAUCUUCUUCUCCACAGACACAGAACGAGACUGAAAAAUUUUAGUGACCAAGAAAAUUUCAUGCAACGUUUGUUUACAGUGAAGCAUCAACAUGGCCAAAAAAUACAGUACAACGUUGAGUUUCGAAAGGGACCUCAAAAGACUAACACUACAAACAUCUCAGUGCCAUAUUCAGACUGAAAUCUCCUAUUCUCGAUGUGAAAGGAGGAAAAUGCAUCAAUGGUCUGACAGUAACCUCCAAGGUUAUCCAAGUUGAGAUAAUUUGAUAUAUUUCAACAAUUCCAUAUAAGUUGACCCCAAUAAGCAGGAAACUGAGGAACAGAUGACGUGCUACAUUGGUGAGUCUUUCAAUAACUCUGUCGAGUGGUAGAGAAUCAGGGAGGAAAAUGCUCAACAUCCAUUGAAGGAAAACUAGAUUCUGAUCUCAUUCCACGAAGCAUAUUCUUUGCCAUUUCCUUCUCCUGCAACCAUGAGCGGAAAGACCAAAAAGAAACUUACUUAAUCCACAUGUUUGUACUUUUUACAUUAGAAGAUCUCUUAAUUGAAGAUUACAAAAGAAAAGGUAUCAGAAAACGUACCGGGCCAGUGUAAUCCAGAAGACGGGUGCAGUACACCUCUGCUUCUUCUAAUCUCUUAUGAGUUCUGCAGUGCUGGGCAAGAAAGAGCAAGGCUUCAACCAUGUUUGGUCCUUCCCUCUCUUCAUCUUCCAUCCUCUCCAAGUCCUUUUUGUAGUAAAAUGCUGCCUCUUCUGGACGCCCAAGCUCACAGUGCAGUUUUGCUAACUGAUGCAGGGCUAUUGCUUCCUUGUCAUUACAGUUUGCAGCCCUUCUGUAACAUUUGAUUGCAUCCUCAAGCAAGUGAAGCUGAUCAGUUUCAUAGCACUGGGCCAUGGCAAUCCACAAUCGAGAAUCACUUGGCUGCAAGAACACCGACUUCUUAAAAUAGUGUAGUGCAUAGAAGGGCAUCAUCAUCAUCUCAUAAGCCUGUCCUAACCCAUACCAAGCUCGAUAAUCACAAGGAUUGAUAUCCACAGCUCGUCGAUAAGCAUCAACAGCAGCAGGAGUGUUUUUCAUUUCAACAUACUCAUGACCCAUAAGUGUCCAAGCAGACAAAUAUUUUUUGUCCAGCUUGAGUGCCCUCCUAAAAUACAUAACAGACUUCUCAUGCUGGCCCUUUAAACUGUAAUAAUUUCCAAUGAUGCAGCAAGAUUCAGGCCUGUAUUUAUCAGUCAUAAAUACCCUGUGGGCAAGGUAACUAAGAGCAGAGAAACACUCCUUUGCAUAGAGGACAUUAGAAUACAUAUCCAUGUCUUCCACUCGAUAGGGGUCAUUUCUCAAAAGUUCUUCAAAUAUUACCUCGACUUGGUCAAAUUCCCUCAAACAAUAUUGAGCUUUGGCAAUCUGAGCCUGUAUGUAAUUACUAAAACUGAAUGUACCUUGAAGAUAUUCAUAUUUGGCAAGGGAUUCAUUGUGCAUCCGGAGCUCUUGGUAAGCACUGGCAAGAAAGAAGUCCUUCAUCCAAUGGUUGCUUAGGUUAAGGCUGUUCAGCAUCUCAAUUGUGGUACAUAAAGACUGCAGCUCUGUCCAGGCAUUCCAGUUCCAAGGGUAGCUAUUCACAGACUCCACAAGGACUGUCCGAGCAAGAUUUUGAUUGCCUCUGUUUUUAAGCACAAGACCAUAUAAGUAUAACCCAAAGGGAUCAAUUGUGCCAUUCUUGCGAAGAGUUGACAACUCCCUCUCCAGAGAAACCAGCUCACGGUUAACAGCAUCACUCUUACCAAGGGGCCCCUCAAGUUCUAUCAUCUCUUCUUCUUUCCUCUUUUCUCCAGCCUUCAAAACCAACAAUGAAGGUGAAAAACAGACCCUUAAAUUCUAUAGAACUUUAUAGGAUGAAAUAUACUAGACAACAGUUUGACAUCAUGUGAAUUAUAAUACUGGAUAAAUGCCCAACAAACAUGCAUGAACUCUUUCAAGAACUCCAGGCACCGUUGAUGGGACUCUCAAGCUAAAUACAAGUCUAAAUCUCCAUCUUUAGAGGAGUUUACAGCUACUUGCAACCUCUGAGACAGACAAAAGGGUUAACUUUGAUUCAAAGCCAUCCAUGUUGAAGACUUCCUUUUUCAUCUUCUUUUAAAAUAGAGUUGAUGUGGAAUAUCGGUGGUCAUGAUAGAAGUUCAUCACAUUUCUGCAUCAGUUCACUUGUUUAAUAUUUUCUAAAUUAAACAAUUAGAAUAUCGAAAGAGAGAAAAAAAAAAAAAAAAAGACAUAAAAUCCUGUUUCAAAAUCAAAGCAAGAAAACUUCACAAAAAGAAAAAAACCAGCUAAAACCCGUAAGAUACAAAAAUCAAGGACUUGAAUACAAAUCCACGUCAAAAUUGUUUUCCCUCAGCAGCUGGGGCUUUUUUCACCACCAAGUCCAACACUUAUCUUAAACUCAGUACUUUGUUGAGAAAAAACAUAAAUAGUCCGAAUUAGUCACUGAAAACAUCACAUCAUACUCUCUCCACCAAAAUCACACAGGAAAUUCUCAAAACACUUAGCUGUAUAACAAUUAAGGUAUAGAAUAAUUCUAUAAAGUGAAAUAGACACGUAAGAAUGAAGUAGAACAUAGUUCCUAAAAAUCAUGUCUUAAUCAUAAUUGCAACAAAAAAAGAAUAAGGAAAAAAUGAGAUAUGAACGCACCAGAUAAAGAGCAUAACAGCGCAAGAAAACUGAUUUCUUUGCAUUUUGAUCGCGAAGCACAUGAGCAGCCCUUUUAUACUCUCGACAGUCAAAGUAGGACUUAGCCAGAAGGUAGAAGUCACCAUCUAUGACCUCAUCUUCCUCCAAUACAGGAGUGGACACAUAAGACAUGCCAGUAACAGGCGUCGAGGCAAUGUCAUUGGUUCGGAAUCUUCGACGAAUGCUAGAACUUCCACGCUGGAAUCUGGUGUUUGUAGGAGUGAACUUUGCAGGGUCUUGCUCGAUUCCUACCAGCUGCUCCCCUGCCCUAGAAUAAAAACACGGGCAGACAUAAAUACAAAGCCAAAUCGGAAACAACAACAACAACAACAUAAAAGCAAAAUGGAAAAGGGGUUUUCUUUUUGUUUUUGUAUAAUUAGGGUUUUGGAGAGGAGAAAAGUAGAGGUUACCAUUUGGAAGCAGAGUAAAGGCAGCGAUCGCUUAGUUGGCGAAGGGCAAUGCGAAGCUCGCUCCGGCAAGUCUCUUUCGAGUUCAUCGAUCUCUGAUCUAUUUUUGAACUAAAAAUGACUUCCCAUAUCGCUGAUGCUGGUUUCAAAUUGAGAGGUUUUUGGAGGUUUUAUUUUUUUAUUUUUUAUUUUAUUUUUAAGGAGACUCAACUCCAUAGAUGAUGAUUGGGUCAGUUCUUUCAAGGCCUCCUAGUAAUAAACAUUAUAUUGUUGUAGGAGACAACAAUCAUGUCCGCCCACAACAAUCAUGUCCGCCCAGCCCAUUAUGUGACUAAUUUGAUUUUUUUUUUAUAUUUUGAAACUAGAAUCAAUACUUGUGGCCCGUUUUCCAGGAAAUUAGUUUUUUUAAUUAAAUUUUAUAAAAAAUAAAUUUAUGAAAAUUAGAUUCUUUGAAAAUAUUAUAAAAAAUAAAUUGAAAAUAUUUUUUAUUGUUUGGAUAUAUCAUGAAAAAUAAAUUUAAAAAUCACUUUUUAAUAUUUUUUAAAAGUUAUCUAAAAAACGAUGACUAAAUAUGACAGAUAAAAAAAUUGAAGGAUAAUGAGUUUGAGAAAAAAAUUAUUUUAUAAAUUAUUUCAAAUAAAAUAAAUAAUAAUUAAAAAAACAGGGAUGAAAUUUGAAGGAAAAAUAAAUUAAAGAGCUGUUUGGAAAACUUAAAAGGUCAAACAUGAAAAUCUUGGAGUAGAGAAAAAAAAAAAAAUUGUCAUUGCCAAAUUAAAAAUCAGUUACAUCACACGUUAUCUAGGGAAGGAGGGAGGGGCUACCAAGAAGAUUCUAAGCACAUCAAGGAAGGUGGUCUUCAAACACUAUAAGCGGACUCACAUGCCGCUUAAAUACAAUGGCACAUUUAACACACUGGCGCAUCCAAUGCACAUGUCAACUAUUUUUUAUUUUUAUAUUAUAUUUUAUAUUUAUCAAAAUACCAAAUUGUCCCCUAAUCAACUUUAUUAUUACAAAAAAAUAUAAAAAUACAAAAAAAAAAAACAUAAACCCUGGUUUAAUAAAUUUUGAUUUUAAAAAUAAUUUAAUCAUUUCACUUUUUCUUUUUUUUUGUUAAAGAUCCAAAAAGUGUUUUUUAGAGUUGAGAAAAAGAUAAAUUUUUUUUUGGAAAGGCUUAAGGUUUUUUCUUUAACUAUAAAUCAUUUUUUAUUGAUCAACUUUUUAAAACUUAAAUAACAUGAGAAAAUUUAGAAAGUAAUUCGGAAAAAGUUUGGAAAGUUAACCAUCUUUUAUUUUCCUUAUUUUCAAUGUGUCAUUUCUUAGUAUUCACUAGUUCCACUAUUUUUUUGCAUUUCUUUUUCUUAUAUAUAGGUAUUAAUGGAAAUGCGCGCGCGCACACACACAUAAUAGUUUAUUGGUGAGCACUACGUUGAGGGUCACAUCAAUGUUUUUAAAAAUUUAACAAAAAAUAUUCAGGUUGUAGAAAACUAUUUGGUAUUCUAUUAAACCCGGCCUAAUAGAUUACCCUUGAAACCUCCUAAUCUGACUUCUUACCUAGCCUAAGUUUAAAAUUAAACUAUGUGGAAAUUAUCUCAAUGAGAUCCAAUCAAUUUGAUCAGUCUAGAGGCCUCCUGAACAACCGAUAAAAAAAUUGAGAAAAAAAUGAUAAAAGUGACAUAAAAAAUUUACUGACCAAACUUCUUGCUUGGUCAAUAGAUUUAAAAUUAAAUUAUGUAGAAGUUACCCUGACAUGACAGUUAAUUUGGCCGGUUUAAAAGUAACCUAGUCGAUUAAUAACCGAUAAAAAAAUUGAGAAAAAAAUGAUAAAAAUGACAUAAAAAAUUUAUUGACCAAACUUCUUGCUUGGUCAAUAGGUUUAAAAUUAAAUUAUAUAGAAGUUACACUGACAUGACAGUUAAUUUGGCCGGUUUAAAAGCAACCUAGUCGAUUAAUAAAAAUAAUAUGAGAAAACAAUUAAGAAGAAAUGAUGAAAUGAACAGGAAAAAAACUAAUGUGAACCUCUGAAUCAAAUGAUCAAGCAAUCCCCAAUAAAGUUGAAAUACAAUCCUGAAAGUAAAAAAUUAGGUAUGAUAGAACUCCGACCUAUAUGUAACCCUGUACUUAAGAACCAAAUGUACUGAAACAAACUUGGACUCAAAGAUAAACAUGUACCUAACAAUCUAAAGAAUACAAAUGACAUAAUGAAGCUAGUUAAUCUUCGAUAAGUUGGAUGUACGAUUUUUGUCCCUGCAAAGAAAUGAUAUUUUACCACAAAAAAAAAAAAAAAAACUCACAUUUAUUAUCACCAAGAUGCUAAAUUUUGUAACUCCAAAAACAUUAUAUAGUCUAAUUCAAAUAACUCUAAUGGACCUCUUUUGAGUUACAAGUUAAUGGGCCUAAACUAUGAAUCAAUUAACAAAAUUCUAGUAAUGAAAUAAACCCCUUUACAAUAUCUAAUGGGUCAGAACAGACCCAAAUUAAAAAUAAUUUUUCAACAUCAAAUAAGUAAAAUAGGAUGAUAAAAACAAAGUUUUCAUGUUAGAAUUUUUCCAUUUAAUCGAAAUCUCUAAGCUCUUUUAGGUGGUGUUUUGACUAAACAUUUAGUAUAGGAAUUCAACUAGAAAACUUUAUUUUGAUUGUUAGAAUUUUAUUAUAUUGCCUCCUCUUAUUCUCCUUGAUGUUUUAGGAAUACCUAUAAAAUAAAGAAAAGAAACCCAAGAGAAGCAUCCUUUUAGAUGCCGCCACAUCAAGUCCUUGUUGAACUUAGAAUCUUUGCAUAGUACGAACUCUAAUUUUUCAAUGAAUCCAAGCCAUAUUAGAAACACUUAUAGCCCAUGCACAAGUUUAUGACCUAAAUAAGUAGGAAACUGAAGGAAAAUAGUUUUAGCUAACAAAGAAUAUGAUGAUUAUAAAAGAGAAGAAGAUCAUGUCAUACUUUAAGCUUGAGGUUGUUUAUAUAGCCUUGAACCCAUGUGAUGUCUCCAUGCUAGGGUAGGAUGAUCAAUGUGUUUGUCACCUAUAAUUUUGGACUCCUUGGAGAUAAAGGUCUAGAGUAACAACAAGCAUCUACAAAAUCUGCCUUCAUUAUGGGUUUUGUGGGACAUGUAUUGUUGAUGACAAUACAACAUAGUUGUUAGACUUGAUCUAAGGUUUGAUCUAGAAAUAGGUUUGGGUCAUUGGAUUGUCAAGCCAAUCAUUUUAUAAAAAUAAUAUUUUUUUGUUCUUUAUAAUAAAAACUCCUUGAUGUUAACCUUACUAGGUUUGGACUAGGUUUGGUUGGGUAAUGGGUAAACCUACAAGGUUAAUAGGGUUUUGGCUAGUCAAUAUCUUUUUUUGGUUCAAGUUAAAAUCCAACCCAAGUUAUGGGUUUCUCGAGUCAACCUAUCAUGCCAAGAUGAGUUUAAUAAAUAGAUGAAAUAUGACCAAUCUCUAUAGAUAUAUAGUUAAAAGGUGCGCCUUCAUUUAAUGCUUAUACGUCCUAUACCUGUAGAUGAUGGUGGAUAAACCAGAUUGACCAAGGGUAAUGCACUUGAAGAGUAUUGGUUAUCUUCAAUGUGUAUUCGCCUGAUACUAGGUUGGGCUUACACAUGAUCUCAACGUGUUUUUUGUUCAGUGGUAUUGUCUUAUUGUGCUCUUUGGACGCCUCGAAACCAUUUUGAUAAUGAAUGUUAUGGGCAUGUUGGGAUAUCAACCUUUUUUAGGGCCUAAAUUAAUGAUCUCAAGUUUAGUAGAAUAGUGGGCCAUAUGAUACACUUGGACCCAAAACAAUGCGAGAUCUAUUUGGACCCUGGGUGCUCAAAUAAGCUUCAUCGUCUAUUAUUGCUUUGAGUUAAUCUUUCAUGUGAGUCUUACCUUGAGUUUUGUGAUCAUAUAAUUAGGGGUGGCGACCCCGGACCCAUCAUUAUUCUUCCAUUUUUCCUUUAUAAUGUCCUUGUUGUUUUCUUUUAAAUGUUUUAUAAUAGCUUGUUGUGGUUGUAAAAGAAAAGAGAUAUGUUUUGAGGUUUGAAAUUAGUUUAUAACUAAUUAGUUAACCUAUGCUUGCCGCUAGUGGAUCAUAAAUUUUUAAAUGUAAUAAAUAUACAAGCAUUUUUAAUGUGUUUUUUGACAUAAAAAUUGAUGCAUAUAUUUAAUUAAUUAAAUAAAAAAUCAUAUGAACUGAUAUGUACAAAAAAGAGUUGUGAAUGCUAACAAAAAAAUAGACUGAAAAGUUAAUAGAUAGAUGUAGAUAAAGAUAUUUAAUCUUACAUCACAAUCCAUGGACCUAGUUCGAUUUAAUAGCUCUAUUUUUUAAAACUAAUUCUUUAUUUAAUUAAAUGAUAAUAAAAAUAAAUAACAUUAAGGAAGUGACAGAAUAAAAUUCAAAGAAAAAGAAUAUUAUGUAGGGUUGCACCAAAAGAAAACUUGCUAGUGUCAGAAAAGAUGUUUUAACCAAUUAAAAAGCCAAACAAAAAUUAAAUAGUUUUUUAUUAUAAAUAAUAUCCCAAAAAUACUUUUGAUUAUUUUAUUUUAAUUAAUUAAAAUUGAAUAUCUUGUCGGAUGGGCAUGCUAUACAUAUAUUUAACCAUUAUAUUUUAAUUAAUCUAAAUUUAAAUCAAAUAAAAAGAUAUUAGAAAGAUAAAAGUUAAAGAAAUGGGUUCAAACGUUUAGGUCUUGGUAGCCUAGUGAACCUGGCUUAGUAAAAGAACCGUGAGCACAAAUAUAACAUUUAUUUUUAAUCCUUGUCAAGGUUAACUACCCUAACCUUUUUUUAAAACAAUAAAGGCAAACGACGCAUCGUCUAUUGGUGUAGACGACAUGUCUUCUACAUGCUCAAUUUUCAACUAUCAUAGAAAUUGCUGGAAAAUUAGGUUGGGUAAUUUUUAUUUUUUUUAUCUAAAACCCUAAUUUUUAAUCUAUUGUCACCUAAUUUUUUUUAAAAGACACCCUUAUAACCUCAAAAUUAGUAAAAAUACAUGAAAUCAACUAGGAAAAAAAAACUUUUUUUCAACCCUAAUAUAUCUUUUUUGGUAACAUGGAAGCCCAAAAAAACCUGAUCACAUUUUUCAUUAAGAUAAACGCUUUGACAUUAAUUUUAGCUAUUUUUAUAAAUAAAAUCUGACCAAUCAAUUUCUUUUUUUUCUCAUUUGUUGUUUUUUGGUGACCUUAUCCCUUCCCUCAAAUUUAGAGAUUGAAAUGUGCACAAAAUAAAAUUUUAGAUUAAAACAUAUAAUUAUCAACUAAAAGGAUCAAAAAUAUUUUAUUGACAAAUCUUAAGGAUAAAAAUGUCAACACAAUUUUUUUUAAAAAGAACUACUAUUUUUAUUUAUAUGAUUAACGUCUAAGCAUAAUACGAGACUUAUUCAUGUGAUAUCUUCAUGUUUGGAUAAGACAAUUAAUAUGUUUAUCACCUAUAAUUUUAGACCAUUUGAAGACGAAGGUCAAGGCUAUAUAAACAGCCUUGAGCUUAGGACGAGGCAUGAUCUUCUUCUCCUAUAAUUAUCAUAUUCUUUGUUAGAAAAUUGUCUUUUCUGUCUUUAAGCUUUGCUCUUUGAAAACACACAUGCCACAACCCUCUAAAACUCUUUUUUUUUUUUUCAGUGUUAACUUAAACAUAAGAAAAUCUCUUAUUCGAAAUAGAAGACUAGUUUUAUAAAUACUCCAAGUGUCCAAACCUAAAAUCUCUUACCAUUAAAUCUAUCCUUUAAUUUUGGGAAGAACUUAACCCUUUCAAGUUUUCAAUAUCCUUGUAAUAAUCAUAUGUGAAGGGAGAAAAGAAAGUUCGAUUGUAAUCCAUUAUCUUUCUAUUUUUCUUUUUCUCUCUCAUUUCCUUAAUUCUCACACCUGAUUAUUUUUCCUUCCCUUCAAGGACAAAACGAACUAGAUUUUUUUAAAAAAAACUUCAAUUGUAGUCCAAUAGUCUCAAUUGUUCGGAAAACAAAAUAUCCGAACAAUUUUUUGGAAAAUCAGGCGACAACCCAAUGACGAGCCUUUUUUUUUUUUACUUCGUGAGAACCCUAAAUCAGCCCAUCAAAACAAAUUCCUAGGGACUAUCUCAAAUAAAAUCAACAAGAAAGAAUCAAAUUAAAAAGAAAAAUACAUGACAAAAAGAAAAAAACAAAACCAAAAAACAUUGCGCUGUGGGAAUCCAAAGUGUAGUUAUGUGUGGGUGUACAAUUGAUGAAACAGUAUUAGCUAUCUUAGUGUUUUGUAAAUAAUUUUAUACAAUGCAACUUGCAGUGAGGGAGAGGGAGGGGAGAGAGAGAGUUGGAGGCCAGUUCAUGAUCCAAACUGCAACCUAACUCAAAUUUUCCUAGAAACUUAGAUUAUUAAAAAACAAUCUAAACCCGCAAAAUGAAACGGGUAAACAAAAACGAAAGGUAAGGCACAACCCAGACAUCUACCUGGCUAUUUACAAAGGCACGAAACAACCACCAGCCGAUUUCUACAUAAUUAACGCCAGUACUGAGCCCACCGAUGAAUGGUCUCAACCAUUUGAGGGAACAAUGCACUAACACUCUCAUUUAUAAGAUCCUGGAAAAAGUGUAUGCAGGCCUCAUCAUCCAUGUCCAACCGAAACUUCUCCUGCAGCUGUAAACAUCACCAUAGACUAAAUCAUAAAACAGACAGAAAGGAAAAGGAAUAGAAAAUAGAUGUAAGAAAAUAGUCGCAAGAAAUAUAAAGUGUUACCUUGAGAAUGCCUUUUUCAGGAUCAGAAGCUAUGUCAGGAAUGUUGGAACCCGCCAUCAGAUGGAAAAGAUUCAAAAUUAGGUUACUGGACUUCCUAAUGAUGUUGUAUGCUUCACAGCAGUAGGAUUUAAACCUGGUAUAGUAUGGGCUGCAAGACAAUAAUAAUAAAUAAAUAAAUAAAUAAAUAAAAGCUUAUUCACACAUUUGCUUGCGUGCAUUUUAAGAGCGUCCUAAAUUGUUUCCAAAUCUACCGGUUUUUAAGGAAGCUACACACGAAAAUAGAAAGAGAAAACCAGUAAAGAGGGAAGAAAAACUUUCUAUACCACCUAUGGCCUUAAUUAUUUUUUUGCAGAGUUUGAUAAGGUACCUAUUUGUACCCUAGUGAAUCCUAAAUCUACUUAUCCAGCAAGGACAUAAAACGGUAUAGAAAGAUUAAAUAAAACAAAUAACACCUUUCUGCACCCCCCAUGGCCUCAACCAUUUCUUUGCAGAGUUUCAUUGGUGGUGGAAAAUGCUUUGGAUCUCGGCCAAGAAUAAAACCAAAAUCAACAUGGAAAAGACGCCCAUCUUCCGUGAGGAGAAGGUUGUCUAGGUGCCUGGGACCAAGAAAAAUAGAUAUCUUAAGAAAUACAUUCUACUUUAAAUAUCUACAGCAGCCCUAGGAAGUACAGAAAUUAAGAUGCCUGUGCAAAGAUGAAAGGUCUUUUCGAGAUUGCCAGCCAACACUCAACAAAGCAGAUAAAAAUGUGGGGGUGUACACCAACACACACGCACAUAUAUGAAAGCAUAAUGAGACAAUUUGCAUAAAAUUUCAGAUUCCACAUAUUGAAAAUCAAAGCCACAACGGGAAAAGGACAAACUCCACUUUUACAUAAGCAAAGGUAAAUAAUCUUUGGGGGCCUAGUGGGAUGGGCCACUAGGAAAAUGCUGUUUCUCUGGCAAUCAGAUGAAUCACUGUUCAAUUACUCUAGGUUAUAAUUUAAACUCCAGUUCUCCUGGAUCAUGAACUGUAGCAUGUAAGCUACUUCCAAGUAUAAGGAACAUAAAACCAUCUGAAGAAAUUUUUAAUUUACGUUAACUUUUCAAUAGCCUGGGAAUGAGAUCAUGCUCCUACUCAAAACACCUAGGACAGCUUAACAACAAGCCAGCAGCAUUUGCGCAUUUCAAGAACUAGGCUGUAAACCUUCCCAGCCACUAUCAUUUCUGGGGCUCUAGUGUGAAAGAUGAAUUGCUAACAUAAUUUGCAAGGUACAUACACACGCAUUUUAACGUGUGCAUGAUUAGACAUUACCUGUCUCCAACACCCAAUAUAUAUGUGAUUACAGAGUAGCCAGCACAACUUUUUAUGAAUGUCUCAAGACAGGAGGCUGUGAUCCCAAAUGGUCCAUGUUCAUCAGGAUGAAACUUCUGCAAAUAGUUAAUAAUGCUACGAUGCUCUUGGAGAAUCUGGAUUUGGAAACAUGAUUGUUAGCGACCAAUCAUAACAUAAUAUGUGUUACAUAUGAUAUGAAUUUCUUGAAUAAAUCUUUAUGAACAUAAUUCUAACAACUAAUCUGCAAUAAAGAAUAAAUAAUUGAGGUCCCUUUUAAUUCUCAGAUAGUAUGGAAAGGGCACAAUAACCAGUGAAUCAGUUUGUAAACCAUGUUCAGGUAUAGUAAGCCAUUUUUUAUCCCUUUAUUUCCCUCCAAGUUCUAAGAAUCAUAGAGAAGAUCUUCACCAUUGUCCACAAAAAAAAUUCCAUCAUCAUAGAAAAUAACAGAGCAAAGUGCCUUGCUGAUCAUGAAGGAAGUCAUUUGAAAGGCUAGGUACAAAGGUUGCAACAAAUUUACUUCAUGCAAAAUUUUCAGAUUGCAUUGAUUUUACUUUUUCAACUAUCCUUCGAAAGACAUUGUCUACUUGUCUCAUGUAAAAUCUUUUCUUGAAACUUGCAAAUUUUAGUAGAAAUUUUCUUAUAUGAACCUUUGAGCAUUUCAAAAGAAAGAAAAUGAAGUAUAAAUAUUGAGACAAUGGACACAUCUCCAUUGAGUUCCAAUGCAAUAACUUCGUUACAUAGUUGAUACACAUAGGUGAUUGGACUCAUCCCUUCAAAGGAUCAACAUUUGGAGGAUGAAAUACCUGAGCCAAUGAACGUGAUGGUAUGAAUUCUAGCAUGCCUUCAUCCUGUCCAGUAGCAAGCACCUUAUAUGGAGUUAAGUGCAGAUCAAGAUUUUCCAACUUAAGCAAUCGGUCCAUUAGAGAUACCAUUUGGACAACCUACAGGAACAUAUAUCAAAACAUCACAGAUGUCAAGGUCUAUCCCAAACAUUCUACCCACCAAACUCGAACAUAGUAUGCAGCACCAAUGCAUGUCUUUGUGUAGAUGUGUGCGUCGCACGCAUGUGACAGAGAGGGGGGAAGCACAUUAGAAGAUUUUUUUUGCAUGCCCAAUUAUAAUUUCUUAGGAUUCAACCAUUUACCAAUUGGUCUUGCCGAAGAUCAUCCCCCUUCUUAAAUAUGACCUUGCAAGUUUCACCAUUGUGUGUUCGAAAAGUCAGGCGCAAAGGAUGCAGUGCACUUUUGAAUAUCGUAGACUCUGAUGGCACUAUCCCAGUGAUAAGGACACCUGGAGCAAGCGGUGAUCUUAUUGGCUGGAAUCCAACACAGUAUUUAAAACAAUUUACAAAGUCUUAGCCGUCUUCAAUAAUAAUUUAGAUAGAAUAGAACAGUGAAAUGAAAAGCAUGCCAUUUUAAGAGCUUAUAAAAUGAAAUGCUCAAUGGAAAAGGAAAAACUACCUCUUCAAAAUAGGUAAGUUCACUAAGAAGACCUGAGAGAAGUUGUCUAAGCUUUUCAGUUUUCUUCUGAGUAUUGCCCCGCACAUUUCUUAAAUCUUUUGUUAUAGAACAUAACUGGGCUGUCAAUUCUGUCUGGCGCACCAAACUCUGCCACAACUUAAAUCCAUCUUCUUCUCCACUUGGACCAGCUGCCAACUGUUAUGAAGAGGAUGUAAUUACUCAACUGCAUAAACAACUUUGCAAUCCAUAUUUUACUGAGGAAAGGAAUUUUGUUUAAAAGCUAAACACAGCCAAUUAUAAUAGUCUAGCACCAUUUGAUACCUCAAGUUGCUUCUUUUCUUCAUCAUAAAAGAUACUUGUUCCAUGCAGUGAAAAUUACAUUUUGGAAGUUACAGAGUAAACUUGGAUUCACCUAUGUCUUCUCCGCUUAUAUUUAGAAUACCAACCAUACAGAGAGUCUGAAAUGAUAUUUUGCUACUUCUAAUUGUCUUUUACACUUAGAGGUUACACAGAGAGAACUGAAAUGAAGAUAUAGAUAUUUUGCUACUUCUAUCCCUCUUUCACAAGUGGAGGAACAUGAAUAUAUAUGCCACAAUGUUACAUGGAGAACAACAGAAAUUAGGAUGUUGAAUUGUUGACUUGUUCAUCUCUGGGUCAAAAUGCAACAGAGAGCACCAUAUAAUUUUGAUCAAGCACUAUGCUCUUCCACAACAAGGGUUUAUCCUUUUGCAUUUAGUUGUCAUGUAUGAUCCUCUGUUAGGAGAGUACUUAACACUGUCAGCUUGUAUAUGAGAUGGCAUGAUAAAGAUAAACUUACCAAACCCUUUCUUAUGUUGCUCUUUAUCUUUUUAGAGCAUCAUACCAAACAAAUGGGGCAAAGGCUCUUGCUGACACAGAAACCACAUUUCACUCAAGCACAAAACAAAAGACAGGCCAAUGAAGUGCUUAUAGCCACAAUCAUAUGCUGCUCUUUUUUUAAUCUUUAGGGCAAAAGUUAUAUAGUAGUAUUGUUAGACAUUGAAACUAGAAACAGAUUAAAAUCCUGAAAUAUUGCCAGAAGCUGCAGUUAAUAUAAUUUAAAUGGAUGUGAGGAACUUGCUCUGCCACUCAUGGGAUCAAAAGAACUAAUGUUUAGGAAAAUAGAACACAGAUAUGAUGGGCUACAGAAAUUUCAUAAUGCACACCUUCACCAUAUUCUCCUCCAGUAUCUCAUACGUAGAAUAAAACCGUUUUGCAUAUGCAGGAUCAUAAAGUUCCACAGCAACAUACCAACGAAGAAAGCUACCCAGCUCGAUGUUGUUUAAUGCUGUCAAACACAACAAUAGUCUCAGAUGCAAUAAAGAAGCUAACCGCAUAAACAUGGAUAGAUGGAAGGAUGGAUGGAUAGUAUACAUGCGUGCAUGGAUAUGAACAUACACACCCACUAACCUGUAUGCACACACAUACAGACAUUCUAUAACACUUAAGAGUACAAAGCAUACAGCGUUUUACGAGGAAUUGAGAAAGGCGAGAUUUAUCAGAGCGCUCAAAUCUAAGAGCCUGAACCAGUUGAAGUAAGUAACACUGAAGUUCUUCAUCAUCAGCUCUUUCAAGAACACUGACAGCAUAUGCACGAACCUGUUAAGAGGAAUUACAAUCAGGCAUCAUUCACUCUGGAAAAGAUGUGUAAAAUUCUCCAUUUUACAGGCAUUUUUCUUGUUGAGGAUAUUAUGCAUCAGCAUUCAGGCCUUUAUAAUAUGUUCUGAAUCUUUAAAAAAUACUCAUUGGAUUCUUAUGAAUGCUUUAUAGGUCAUUAUCCCAAGCAUUGUCCCACCUAAGAUCUCCGAAAAGAAAACUUGGAUAGUUUGGACUUUGGAAUAAUAUUAAUUCAUAAGACAGCUCUUCCAAACAAAAGGCAUAAAAAAAAUAAAAAAGGCAGGACUUCUGAUUAGUCAAAGAAUGGUAAGAGCAAGACACCAGAUCAUUCUUGCAAACCCACCUCUUCCCUCUCAAAUACAGGAGAUAGAAGCUCCAAUGCAUCACAUACAUCAAUCAUUUCCCACCUAUUCAUCAAUUCUAAUGCCUGCUUUGCUUCCUGAAAAUACAUCAGCAUAAAAACAUUUAGAAAUUAUCUAUAUUUUGGUUAGUGAUAAUAAAGCAAAUAAAAAAAAAUGUAGUAAAAGCAUUUGAGGAAAAGCAAUAAAAACAGAUGCUGAAUUUGAAUAAUUAAAAUCAGAAAAUGGUGAAAUAGUCAAGCAAACAAUAAUUAUUAACACAACCAUGUGAUGCAACCAAUAGCUAGCAAAUAAAGUCUACACCUCCCUUCCCCAAAUGAUAAAAAACACCAUGAUUCUCACAAGUUGAAGAUCCAAAAAGUAAUUUGAGAUAUUGGAAGGAGAAAGGGAACGUGAGAAAGAAGAGAGGUGAAUCAAUGUUUCAGUCAUUUCACCCAUGCAGUAAAUUACAGAGUAAAAUUUCAAAGGGAAAAUAAUCAAAUGCUGACCUGAACAUCACUCCAUUCAACACAUCGUAGGAACUUUGUAAGAGCCCUCUUCUCUAACAUCAAUGAGAAACGGAAUUUCCACAGAAGCUGUCUUUCAUCUCCAUUCAAAAUCCUUGUUGGCGGGUACUUCAGAAUCCUUUGAAUUGACCUUAAAAACAAGUAGGCAAAUGAUAUAACUCAACACAUGCAAGAUAAAACCACUCAAUAAAUAAGUUAAAAAAAUAGUGCUGAAAUGACAUAAUCAAUCCAUGACAGAGAUGAGAUAAAUUAACAUAUGACAGUUAUUGAUUGCCCAGUGUUAAUGAAUAUCAGACCCAGCUGCUCUAUUAUACCAAAGCUCACACUAGAAUAUCUUUGUACAAGUUCAGCAAGUUUUAACAAGAUUCAACAUUCAAGACUGAAGCUGCAAAUUCUGACAGACUAGCCAUGUCAAUUCACAAGCGAAUCUCUCAAUAUAUCUCAACAGAAAAAAUUGAGCUGAGUGCACAUAAGAACUUACAAUUUCUAAGGGAAGUUUAUUUUUAUAAGAAAUUGAAUCUCUCAUGUAAAGGGUUUAGAGCUUACUUCCGUUCAUUAGAGCUUGGCUUCAGAUCCCUGUCAAUUAUACCUCGUGUCAGACUUCUUGCCAGCUUUAGUUGCUUGUGCUCAGAGGGAUUUAUCUUUCCAAUUUCUGGAUCCCACACAGUAACAAGCUCAUUUGUUGAAGCUAUAGGAGAUGGUAAUAAGAAAUUUGCUCCUGACUCCUACAUGUCAGACAAAAAGUUUUAAAAUAUGUAUAGAAUUUGGGCUACAAUAUUAACCACAUCAUUUGCCCCAUGCUUGAAUGAGCAGAAAUGUAAUUUGAUGUGGUUCAAGAAGUCGUCCUAGAAAAGUCAGGUGUCUACAACGAGCCCAAGGCCAGCAUACUUAAUCAGUAUUUAUUGGACUUCUAUAUUUACUAUAGUAUGAGUAUAAAAGCUAUCAAAUUCGCAUGCUCAUUAUGGCAUCCAUGACCAAGCCAUUGCCCCAUCCAUUAUAGGCACCUUCUGCAAAAUUGUCAUAGAGUCAAUGAUGAAGGAAUUGUUAAGGAUAAUAUCCUUGAUCGAUCAUGAUCUAUCUCCUGGUCGAUCAUGGUUGACCUCAUGCCUCAUAUCCCAGAUUGAUCAUGAUCUAUCUGCUAGUCACAUCUCUUGUUGAUCUCAUACAUCACUCAAUCAGCAAGAAUCAAGGGAUUGACAACCACAACAUAUAUCAAGGAUCAUAUAAUGUCAUCCUAUCUUCUGUUUCCUGAAUACAUGCUUUGUAUAUUAAUGCUGCUGAUUAUUUGAAUUUACCAAAUAUAGAACAUUGUAAAGAUACAUAAAUGACAGACCUUGAUCAAGAAAAUCAAUUCAAGCCUUUGCAUUUUCAUUCUCUUGUCUUACAUGGUUUCAGAGCCAACACAGCUAACACCACUAUCCAAAAUGCCUGAUUCAACUACUUCCCAAAGCAUGUCCUUUCUCAUCCCCAAUAUUACCCAGUUCAUAUCAAUCAAGUUGGAUCACAACAACUAUUUACUGUGAGUGUCAUGGUUCUUGCCUGUCUUGCAUACCCAUGAUCUUUUGGGUAUUGUCAAUAACUAAAAUCCUUGCCCGCCCAAAAACCCUGACUCCACCUCUGAAGCCACACCCAAGAUCAACCUAGAUUUUGUUCUCUGGACUAAGACGAAUUGAUACCUUCUCAGUUGGAUCAAUGCCACAUUGACAAAAGGUGUCCACUCUACUGUUUCCUAAAGACAUGCUUUGUAUAUUAAAGUCGCUGAUUAUUUGUGUUUACCAAGCAUAGAGCACUAUAAAGCUAUAUAUAAAUGACAGGCCUUGAUCAAUGAAAUUAAUUCAAGCCUUUACAUUUUCAUUUUCUUAUCUUAUCUUACAGGAAUUAGGUGCGUUAUAGAUAGGUCCUAGGUUUAAAUCUUCCAAAUCAGGCAAGAGAAUGAAUAAGUAAGAUUGUCAUAACCAAUUUUAACUAGUGAAUAACCAAAUAUUGAUAUUUGAUGUUAGAAACAAAAAUUGAAAAUCAAUAGAGGAAAUAAACAAUUUAUAAACAUUAUUACUGUAAUUGUACUUAAGCAGGUUCAAUUUCAAACAAAAGUAGAUGAUUGCAUGUGGAUCAUACCUGAAAAACAACUCGAUGUUCAAGACUGCAAAAAUCAACGACCAAGUACAAGGAAGAAUUUCCAUUUUUACAGUUUUCACGUUCCUUGAUUUUCUCCAUAGCUUUGAAAGUGAGACGGUCGAGCCAAUCAACACACGGAAUUUGUCCUCUCUCAUAUUUAUUAACAAGCUUCUCUAAACGCUCCACCUCCCCACGCUCUUGCUUGGGGACCUGCAACCACAGAAUUCUUAUUAGAAAAUGCGGCAGGAUAUGUAUCAGAUGCAUGUUGCAAAUCAAGUGGUAUCAGUAACCUUUCCAGGAGUAGUUGUCGGAAAUGAUCCAUCCGCUUCCUUCCCUGGCCAAAGCCUAAGCUUUUGCUUCCCUGUUUUGAGUUGCAUCUUGUUGCUAAAAAGAAGAAUGGUUGCUCCUCCAAUCAAUCCCUCAUCUUUCCCACAUGAAACAUCCCAAACCUACAUGUGAAAGCAGGUUGAGCAUUAACCAAAGAAGAGGUCCUAAAACAGUAGAGAGAAGCGGCAAACACCUAACCAUUAACCCUGAAACGACUUUUCUCUAUAUAAGCUCCCAAUUUUGAAUCAACAAAAGCGAGCAGAACAACAGGAGUCAAAGGAAGUUUAUCAACAUAUCAACAAAAGCGCAUUCAAUUUCAGCAAGACUGCAGUUUUAACACACAUUACAGUAAUAGUGAAACAAGGCAUGACAUAAUCCAGUGCAUGAAAAACUUGAGUAUUGCAAAGAAAAUGGAUCAUAAUAUACUUUAUGUGAAGGAUUACUUGCAGCAAUAAACCAUGCAGAAAAGGGAAGGUUGAUUGAUACUAGGAUGGAAAUCUCAAAACAUUGAUAUUUUCAAAUAAUUUAAUUGAAAUAACUGAACUAUAUAAUAUAAUAUAGCGUACAAUGCUCUCCUACUGAAAAAGUUACUGUUCGAGGACAUUAAUUAAAAAAAAAAAAGAAUUUGGAAGCAACUCUCCUAAAAAGAAAAUUACCGUGAAAGCGAGCUGUGAGUGGGCAGUUAAGUCGCGAUAUUUAGUGCUCAUGGUGAUCAGCUCAUUCCAGCAAUAUGAUGCUCCACCAGAUUCCAAUCUAGCACCCAAAACACCCAAAAAAAAUAAUAAAAAAAAACCUAAGAUUAAAAAUAAAAUAAAAAAGCUCUCAAGAAAAAGGGGAAAAAAAACCUAGUUCUGAUGGGAAGGCCGAAUGGAGCGCCAUCAAUGUACAAGGCACACUCAACGUACAGCUCUGCAUUUAUCUCUUCUGUGAUUAUGGAAUGAAUUCAUUUCAAUUAUCAGAUUUCAGCAUAGAUAGGUAAAUUGAAUAGAGAAAGGGAGGGAGGGUGACUAACUGACCUGAAUUGGGUGACUUCGUAGGAGAAGAAGGCAAAGGUCCGAGGAGUCUCUCGACACGAAAAGUGACGGGGAGAUUGAUGUCGCAGGACAAGAAGAAUCGAAAUUCCUUUCCACUCAUCCCUUAAUUUUAUAUCUUCUUCUUCUUCCUGAUUUAAAUUUCAUUCAUAAUAUAUAAAUAUAAAUAUCAAGGAAUACAUAAGAUAUAUUUCAAAGGCAAGUGAGAUGAAAUUAAAAACCAAGUCUACAAGAAGAAGAGAGAGCCGGGUUCAGAAAGAAAAGGCCCACCACAGUAGAAAGCUUGUAUUAUUAGUUCUUCUAUUAUGCCUUCAAUGGCACGUUUUGCAAUUUUUUUAUAUAUCCGCUUCCGUUAGAUCGGAUGCCACGUGUUAAAUAAAAAUAACUGCUAUACUAAAAAAAUAAAAAUAAAACUCAAAUUUGAAUAUUAAAUUUAUAUUUUUUUGAUGAAAAUAAUAUUUGAAAAUAAAACAACUGCCAAUUUUUUAUUUUUUUCUUUACUUUAAAUUAAUAUUUUUUUAUACUUUUCAGAUAUUUUGAUGUGCUAGUAUUAAAAAUAAUUUUUAAAAAAUAAAAAAAUUUAUUUUGAUGUAUUUUCUAGUAAAAAAUAUUUUGAAAUAAAAUCACAACCACAUUUCCAAAUAUAUUUAGGCUCCGUUUGUUUGCAGGAAAGUGAUUUCCUUUUGGAAAGUGAAUUCCGGGGAAAGUGAAUUCAGGGAAAGUAUUUUCCGAUGUUUGGUAGUGUUAUGGGAAAUGAACUGGAAAACACUUUCCAGUGUUUGGUUGUGUAAUGGAAAAUGAACUGUAAAAUAAUUUAUUAAUAAAUUAAAUUUUUUUUCAAGUUUAUCUAAUAUAUAUAUAAUAUUUAAUCACUUACAAUUGUCAUAACCCAAUUUUUGACCUUUUUUAUUUUUAUUAUUUAAAAAAAAAAGAUGAUGAAAAAUAAAAAUAAAAUAAAUGAAGGAUGAAUUAAAAUUUGGGUCAAGGGCAACAUGAUUGGAAGUUUAAAGAUUUGAUUAAACUCUUGACUAGUUUAAUUAAUUAAAUCAAGGGUUUAAUUGGAGAAUUGAUUUAAUUAAAUUUUAGAUUAUUUUAAUUAAUGAAAUCAAGAGUUUAAUUGAAGAAUUAAUGAGUUUAAGGACUUAAUUAAACUUUAAUUUAAUAAAAAAAACCCAGGAAUUAAAUAAAAUAAACCAACCGUAAUUCUCUGCUAUAGUAGCAGUGAAUUAUAAUUCGCUGCUACUGUAGCAAGUGAAUUAUAAUUCGCUGGUGAAUUAAUUUAUUGUGCAGCGGUAGUGCGUGCACGCCAAAAGAAAAGUAUUUUCCUUUUAUUAACAGAAGGAAUUCACUUUCCUUUCCAAGUGUUAAUUUCUUAAGUUUGACUAGAAUUUAGAUCAUGUUGACUGCUUUUCCAAAUGACUACCAAACAUGGGAAAACAGGGAAAGUGAAUUUCCGGAAUUUGUUUUCCUGCAAACAAACACACCAUUAGAUGAACUAUCUUUCUUCUGGGAUUAAUCACAACUUUUGUUCUCUUAUUAAAAAAAAACUAUUUUUUAAUGUGAUCCUUACAUUAAUUUUUUAUUCAAUCAAUAAUCUUCACCACCCAUAUUGACAUCUUAAAUAAAAUCUAAGAUUAACUUGUUUAACUAUGAAAAUAAAAAUAAUUUAAAUUCUGAAAGAAAAAAAAGAAUAAGAAAGUUAUUUAAGCAUGGAAAAAAAAUUACAAAUAUCUAGGCCUUUUUCCAAAAUUUAAAAAAAAUUAAUAUCUUUUGAAAUCUGAAUAUCUAAUUUUUUGGUAUUUUUUCAAAAUACUUUUUUAAUUUUUCAAGUUUUAUAUUAUUAUUUGAUUUUCGAAUUUCUAAUAAUUUUUUUCAAAAUAUACAUUAUAAUUUGCUUUUUGUUGUUUUCAAGUUUUUUAUUUUUAGAUUUCUAGAGAUUUUAAUGAAUUUAAAAUUUUUAAAAUAACUUAUUUUUAAUCUGAAAACUUUCAAUUAUUUUUAUUUUUGAAUGUUGGGAAUUUUAAAAAACAAAAUACAAUAGUCAAAUUUAGAUAACAUAUCUAUCACUGUGGCAAAAGUUAACAUAAAUUAGAUAAUAAUAAAAUAGAGAGGCUAUAUUAACGAAAAAAUUUUAAGUUGAGGGACCAAGUAAAUUCAAAAUAUAAUAAAGAGAUCACUAUGUUGUUAUUUAAUUUUUGAUAAAAAAAAUUUUUUAAAAAAAAUUCAAAAAUAUAUUUUUAACUUAUUUACAUCCAUUGCAGCAUCUUUUCCAAAUAAUUUAAAAUAAAAAAAAUACAUUUAAUUUUUUGAUGAUCCAAUUAUAAUUGUGAAAGAAAAAUAACCAAUUUGAAAAUUAAAAAUCCUCUUACCAAGUAACUUAAUUUUUUUUAAUAAAAUGAUCUACAAUUUAUUCUCUAAAUCUAAAGAUUUUUUUUUUUGUAUUGUCUCUGGAUAGUAAAUGAAAAAUUGUGAUUUAUUCUUGAAAUCCAAUGAUUAAUUAAUUAUUUUAAUUUAAUAAUUUGUUUUUUUUAUUUACAAAUAAAUGGUUAUGAUUUAUUUUUAAAAUUCAAUGACUGAUCUUAGUUUCCUUCGUCUUUAAAUCUAAAAAAAACUUCACGAAAAACUUUCUCACACUUUUCUUUUCAAAUCUCCCCCAUUAAAUAAAAAAAAAACACUAGCCUCCAGGGGGGGAGACCAAAAAAAAAAAAGCUGCUGCUCACUCGCAUUUUUUUCUUUCCCAUCGCCGGCUACACCCACAGGCCACAGCCUUCUACCCCACCGUGAACCAGACCAGCCUUUGUCCCAGAAGCCCCCAUCACCAGCCACCCUCACUCAUGUCCCUCCAUCUUCUAUACUGAAACCACCUAAAAAUACCAGCACCGAAACCCACCUCCAACAACCACCCAGCCCAGCCACCAGCUCGUCAACCACCCAGCCACUAGCUUGCCAGCCACUCUCCUCCCCACCUAACCUGCCUACACCCACACGCCGCCAUCAUCUUCAACCUUAGGCCAUAGCCUACACCAACUUGCCAUCUUUCUUUCCACUUAGCACCACUUUAAAUAAAGCACCUCCCUAUUUUGUUUCAAUACGAGCCCGGGACUGUUAAUCUCUCAUCUUCUUCAUCAGCCCACGGCUGCCAACCCCCAAGUCACCAACCACUGAACCUCCUUCCAGCAGCCACCACACAGUCGCUUGCCCCGACUCUUACCCUUCACAUCCAAGAGCAAGCACUGACUAAGCUGCUCCUCUAUUUCCACCUUUUCCUUUGCUCCUGAAAUCAGCCUAUCCAUCAUAUACGACCAUUUCCCCUUUUCUCUCUCAAUAUCAACACUCGCCGGCCAUCAACUCCUCAACACCAGCCGCAAUAACUUGUUAAUUAAUAUUAAUUGUAGGCCUUAUGAGAUAAUUUGAAAGAAAUGCAAUAUUAGCAUAGUUGCUUAGGUGGGUUAUUUAACUUGCAUGAUUCAACAUAUGUCUCGUAUUAAAAAGACUAGUCAUCAAACCACAAAAACAUAACAGAGAACAAUUACAUCAAGAACUGCUAAUUGAAUUGCAAACAAAUAAUAACUCAUCUUGUAUAACACAUAUGAGUUAUGAUGUAUUUAGUUAAUAAGUUAUAAUACUUCAUGUGAGAGGACUUUUUAUGGAUAGUCAAUACAAUGCAAUUGAGGAUCAAAUUGCAAAGUUUCUUUACAUUUUAAAUGGUCAAACAAGUGCUCGAUCACAAAGCUUUUUUUUCUAUCAAUUUACUAAGACAAGACAUCAUUUUCACCAAGUGAUUAGAGUUCUAAUAACACUUGAAUAUCAAAUUUUAGCUCAACCAAAUGGUUCUAUAAUCCCAUCACAAAUACUUAACAAUGGAGAAAGAUUUUAUCCAUACUUUAAAGUAAUUCGUUAUAUAGAUAUAUUUAUUUUAACAAUAUCUAUGGAACUCAUAUAAUCAUUUUUAUUAAUGUAAAUAAAAUUUUUAAGAAUUGUAUUCGCACUAUAUAUAGAAAACAUAUCCAAUUCUGAAUAAGAUGUAUCAAGUUAUGGAGGAGGAAAAAGUUAUCGUAUGAUGAAUGUAUUAGUUGCUGACACUUUUGACGUGAAAUUCACUUAUAUCUUAGAUGGGUAGGAGGGCUUAGUUUCUUACUCAAGAAUUAUAGAUAACACUUUAAAUAGAGAGGAUAGGCUAAUGUUACUCAAGGUAUUUGGUUUUUAUACAUACAUUUUAAAUAGUGAAUAAAAAAUGAUACAUGAAGUUUUUAAAGUAAUUUUUCUUAAUUAUAUUUUUAGAUAAAUUCUACUUAGUUGAUGCAAAAUAUAUAUUGAGAUCAGGGUUUAUCACUCCAUAUCAAAUUACUUAGUAUCAUUUGAAAUAAUAUUCUCGACAUCUUUCUAAAAACACAAAAUAACUAUUUAACUUAAGACAUUCUUCAUUGUUUAAAGCAAAUAAAAAGGUUUUUGGUGUUUUGAAGUCAAUAUACUCAAUUCUAACCGAGAUGUCAAGAUAUGAUGCAAACAUAAUAUUUGAAACAUUUUUAGCUUAUUGCAUUUUACACAACUUAUUAAUGGAUUUUUAAUUUGGAUGAAGAAAUUAUUGCAUGAGUUGAUAGAGAGCACAUGAAUAAAGAGCCUAAAGGUGGAUUUAUUUAUGGAGGAAUUGAUGGAGGUGAAGAUGGAUGAAGGGAAGAAAUUACGAAAGAGACUAUGGUUGUAUAUAUAUGACAUGAUUACACAUCUCGACAUUAACUUGUCUUUUUUACCAUUGCUUUUGAUAAGAACUUGAUUUUAUGUAUUAUUUUUAUUUUACUUUGAAUUAGUUGUGUUUAAAUAUCUUGAACUUGAGACCGGAUGUUUAAAUUUUAUGUGUUUUUGUUAUAAUAUUUAUCGAGCUACUAUUGCAUUAUUUUAACCUUAAAUUUGUUUUUGUUUAUUUGACUUUUUUUUCUUGAGUAAUGUAAGUUAAAUAAUGUGUUAUACGAUGCUAUAUAAUAAUAUGCGGUGCUUUGGAUGUGGAGGGAGUUAUUUAUGUAGAAUGUGAAAAUGAUGGAGAAGCAUAGUUGAGUGGAUCAUAUGAAUGGAUGAGAUGAUGCUUGAAAUUCUUAGGGGACAAAAAAAUAGGAAUCAAAAUAAAGAUAGAGUUUUUUUUUUCUGAAGCUUGUAGGAAGAUGAUAGUUGAAAUUAAUAAAAAAAUUUCUUUGAACAUGUUUAAGACAAAAAUGUCAAAUCAUUUUAAAACUUUUAAGGAGCAAAUGGUUUUAGAAAAAACAAUUAACUCGAAAAGUGGAAUUGAAUGGAUGAGAUGAUGCUUGAAAUUCUUAGGGGACAAAAAAAUAAGAAUCAAAAUAAAGAUAGUCUUUUUUUUCUAAAGCUUGUAGGAAGAUGAUAGUUGAAAUUAAUAAAAAAAAUUCUUUGAACAUGUUUAAGACAAAAGUGUUAAAUCAUUUUAAAACUUUUAAGGAGCAAAUGGUUUUAGAAAAAACAAUUAACUCGAAAACUGGAAUUGAAUGAAAUGACACUACCAAAACAUUCAAAGCUUCGGAGAAAGUAUGGAAACCUUUAUUGAUGGUAUGGAUAUUAUAAUUCACUUGUUAUAUUUUCAUUAUUAUAUACUCAUUAGUUACAAUUGUCUUGAUUUAUUUACUAUUGUAAAGCCAAUUCUAAGUUAAGACUUAUUCGAGGAAAGCCUCUUCACCAUAAGAACAUUUUUAGAGAGACAUGUCAGAAAAAUAUAGCAAUUGGAUCUCAAGCCAAUAUUGCUAGAGAAAAUGUACAAAGAUAGGAGAGAGAGAAAAGGGAGAUGAUGAUGAUUUUAAUGAGAUACAAGCAAAUAAUAAGAUUCAAUCAGAGAUCUUUCAUCCCAAAUGCUCCAAGGUUCAUUAUCAUUUACUCCAUGAUUGUUUAGAACUUUAGCUUUGAAAGGUACAAAAUGAAAAAACCAAUGAUAAGUGAUCAUUAUUCCUAAUUUAAAGAAAUGACCCGUGCAAUAAAGAAUAUUCCACAAGUUGUUAUGAACACAAACCAUCAAGUUUGGAAGCCAAUCAAGAUAAUUAAAGUAACGAGGGGAUUAGGAUUGGAGGGAUCAAAUCUUUUUGAAGUAGUUGAAUGACUUGAAGAUCAUUCUAAUCUUAUUGAAAUAUUUUUUGGAUACCCGGAAGAGCUAUGCUUUGAAUGGUUGAUGAAAAAAAUGAGUUGAUAAUAUGUUAUUGAGGAGUUCAAGUUAAGCAUGAAAGUUAGAACUAAUAUUUAUACAAUUGCUAUAGGUUUAUUUAUACAAUUGUCAGAAAUUUAUUUUCUAUGGGAUAUUUUUUGAAUUAUUAGAACUAAAAAUCAUGAUAUCUUUAUUGAGUUGUUAACAUUAUUAAAAUUAUGUUAGUCAUUUACUUGUACUUUCUUCUUUAUGAUGAAUGGAUGAUUCCAAGUUUGAAGUCUAUUAUUAAUAUUUUUAAAUCCCUUCUCUUAAUAUCAUUGAUAGAACAAUGAUUUUUUAACCCUUUUUUUAUAUUGCAAGAAAAUUCAAGAUAGUCUAAUGUUCAGAUACAUAAGUUAGAUUGAAGAAUCAUAAAUGUGGUAAAAAUAUUAAAGGAUUUUAGUUAAAAAUUGAUAAAUAUAAAGGUCGUUGUAAAAAAAAAAAGUGUUUUUUUUAACAAAAAAAAUGAUAUAAAGGCAAAAUAAUCAAGAUUAUUAAUUCAAUUUAUUUUUACAAGUAUUCCAAAACCUAUAAUCGAAUUCAAUUAGGUGGUUUAUUAUUUUAUUCUAAAUAUAAAAUUUUAAUAGAUUAUCAAUUGAAUUCGAAUCAUAUAUAAAAUUAAAUUCAUUUCAACAUGUAAUUUGAUUUCAAAUAUACUACCACCUGCUACCAACUUAGCAUUUUUUCAUCUAAUAUUAUUUUUACCUAUUCACGCACUAACCUUUUUUUGUUAUAAAAUAUUAAGGUAAUUUUUGAUAUUAUGGUAAUUGUUUUUUAAAAUGUUUUUUUUUUAAAAAAUAUAUCAAAAUAAUAUAUAUAUAUAUAUUAUAUUUAUUCUUGACAUCAAUAUAUUAAAAUAAUUUUAAAAUAUCAAAAAAUUAUUAAAAAAAAACAUGGUAAAACUAUAUAUAUAUAAAACACAUCCUAACGACACAUCAACUUUUGACACAACCCAAUUUUUUACACAAACUCAAAAGCGCGUCCAGGUUAGAAUAAAAAAAAAGUGGAGGCGAAUUCGAAUUCCCGCUAGAGAUAAUUAACCCUCGAAACUGCUCCCUCUAUUCAAAAUUCCAAACCCCGCCUAUCACAAGUCUUAAGAAAACAGAAACCCCCUCUCCCUCCACCUCUCUCUUCCUUUCUAACGGUAAUUACCUCUCUUCCCUUCCUCAUUUUCUCCAUCUGUCCAUUCACUGCAUCAGAUCUGCACUCAUAAAAGAAAAGAAAGAAAAUGGCGUUGUCUUACAGUGAUAUUAUAGAUCCCUCUUCAAGGCAUCACACUUAUAGCAGGAAACAGAAAUCUCUCGGUCUCUUAUGCACCAAGUAAACAAACCCAUCUUUCUUUCUUUUUUUUUCUUUUUCUUCAAAAACUCAUAGCUUCCCCCGCAAUUGAAUUGAUUUUUUACUUAUUGUGCAGUUUCUUGACCCUGUAUAAUCGAGAUGACAUUGACGUGAUUGGACUUGAUGACGCUGCUUCAAAAUUAGGUAUUUAUUUAUUUCUGAUUUUUAUAUUUUACUAGUUAUCAUGAUUCAGGAAUAUCGAUCCGUAUUUUGAAUGGGUGGGAUUUUUAAUUUCUUUUAAUGGGUUUGUGAUUUGCAGGAGUUGAGAGAAGGCGGAUCUAUGAUAUAGUCAAUGUUUUGGAGAGUGUUGGGGUGAGACUCUUGAUUAUCAUGUUGCAAUUUUUUUUUAUGUUUUUUAGUGAGUUUUCUUAUAUGGGUUUUUGAUGUUCUUAAAGGUUCUUGCAAGAAAAGCAAAGAACAAGUAUUUAUGGAAGGGAUUUGCUGCAGUCCCUAAAGCUUUACAAGAAUUAAAGGUAGUAGAAAUAACCCAAAAAAUAAAAGAAAAUGAUUUUAUGUUACGUAUAUCUGAGCUUGAUAUGGGUUUUCUUCUGAAGUGUUGUUGUUUUUUGAAAUUGGGCUGAUUUUGUGUUGUUGUUGAUGUUUUAGGAAGAGGGUUUGAGAGAUAAUGUCAAUACAAUUGAUAAGCAAAGCAAUAAUUCUGUGAAAGUAAGCGGACUUUUAAGGGUUUAUUUAUUCUUUCUUCAUGAACUUCCUGUGUUUUGUUAAGGGCUUCUUUCAUUCUUUUUUUCUAGUCGGGAACUUUUUUGUUAAUCUCCAUUUUUCGUGUGUUGAAUUUUUUAGGUUGCAGAUGAUGAUGAGGAUGAAGAUGAUGACUCUGAUUCCAAUCCUAACACUGGAAGCCAGAAUGAGAAUUCUGGUAUUAUCAAAUCUACAGCGGCGUCAAGAUUUGGUAAUGUCCUCUCCUUUUCCAUGAGCAUCUGUAUUUAUGUUUUCUUCUCUCUCGUAUGUUAUUACAUCACUUGUACAAGUAAGUUUUUUUUCCACAGAAUCUGCAUAUGAUUUAAAAAAGCAAUCUCUUAACAAACUUUCAAAGGCCUUUGUAGUUAUUUGUUCUUGUGACGUGUCAAACUGGAACUAGUCCUAUGUUUUGUUCAAAAUUUUGGUUGCACAUAUAAUUACCCAUCUACUUUUCUUAACAUCUUAUAACCAAGCUCAAUUAUUUUUGUUACAGAUCAUAGGAGGGAAAAGUCGCUGGGUCUUCUGACUCAGAAUUUUGUCAAGCUCUUUGUGUGCUUCAACGUGAGUGAAAUCUUAAAUGAGUUUAGUUCUUACAGCCUAGAGUGUGAUAAUUUCUUUGUGUUUUUUGUUUGAAAAUACAUUAAAAUAAUAUAUUAUUUUUUUAUUUUUUAAAAUUCAUUUUUGAUAUGAGUAUGUCAAAAUAAUUUAAAAUAAAAAAAUUUUUAAAUUUUUUUUAAAGCAUGAUUAAACUACAAUGUCAGAUGAGGUCAUAAUAAAUUUUCUAGCCAUUAUGUAUUACAUAGUGCUUAUGAGUGUUUUGUUAUCAGGCAAAUUUGAUCUCGCUAGAUGAAUCUGCCAAGUUAUUACUCGGGGAUGGCCAUAAAUCCUCAAUUAUGAGAAGUAAUUUUUCUCAACUCCUCAACUUUUGAUACGAGCAAUUAGUGGUCUAGCUCUUUGGUUUACAUUCUGUGAAUAAUAUAAUUGUGCAGCAAAAGUAAGGAGGCUAUAUGACAUCGCAAAUGUGCUUUCUUCUCUAAAACUUAUUGAAAAGGUAACCAAUCAUGACAAAUGCUUAUUGAAAACUUAAAGGAAUCAUGUUAGCCUUUGUUACUCGAGCACAAAUACAAUUCUUUAAAGUACUGAUAUUUAUUAAAUGAUGUGCAGACACAUACUGCUGACACAAGGAAACCUGCAUUCAGGUGGUUAGGUUUGAGAGGAAAAUCGGAGAAUGGAUCAGGUGAUCCUUUGGCUCCUUUUGAGUCUAGGAAGAGGACAUUUGGAGCUGAUGUCACAAACAUAUGUUCUAAAAGAAACCAAACGGAUUCUUCAGUUGAUGGGGAUAAAAGCAAGAAUCUGAAGAUGCAGAAGCAAAUAAAAGAUGAGAAUAUUGUAACUGUCGUUCAGAGAGGCAAUUUCGACCAGGAUUCACAGCAGAACUCAGGAAGUUUCCAGUUUGGCCCUUUUGCUCCUGUUAGCAUAGCCAGAGUUGGCAACUCUGAAGAGAAAGUAACUCAGAUCUAUGAUUGGGAGGGUCUUUCCUCUACUUUCCGUCCUCAAUACCACAACCAAGGUACAACCUAAUGCUUUCAUAAAAAAUUCAGUGAAACGGUUUGACCAUAUCAGACUUCAAGAUCCAAUUAUUUGACGAUUAGGUUCAGAAAUACAUCUUCAGCUUGAUACAGAAAACACCUGGCCUACAUAGUCUGUUUGCCUUUCAUUUCAUGUUUCCUUGUGAUAUCAUGCAAUGAGUUGGACAACUGAUCAGUCCAUUGUUGAGUUGUCUGAAAGCAUGAAAAUUGUCAAUAGGCUCUUGUUUGAAGGUCUGCUAGUAAAGCUAUGCGUUUAAGAAAAGCAAAUAUGGUUUGCUUAGGUCAUAUCACUUUGUUCGUCCAGUGAAGUUAGUUAUUCGUGAAAAUCAAAGUUUGUAAAUAAAUAGAUUAGAUUAGUGAGCAAAUAAAUUUAAUUUAUUAUUAUAAAAACAUGUUAAAUAAAAACUGUCAAAUGAAAUUCUAUAGUUUAUAUAUUUUUAAAAUUAUAAGCAUAUAAAAUUAUAAUUAAUGACAAACAUAAUUUUAAUAUAAACAAAUAAAUAAUAGAAUUAGUAUGCAUACUAAGUAUAUAUUCAAAUAUAUAAUUAAUAUAAAAUAAUUUUUUUUAGCAUGUAUACAAAUAAAAUUAACUAUAAUUAAAUUAAAACAAGAAUGAUAUUUAGUUGAAGUAUUUUAAAGUAAUGAAUUUUUUAUUAUUAUUAAUGAUGAAUCAUUUGUUCUUAAUAUUUUAUUACUUCUCACUUGUGUCUCCUAAGUUUCCAACAAUACUGUUUUGAUUUAAAUACAUUUUUAAACAAGAUUUUUGAACCAAAAAAUUAUGUAAAAUCAAAUAUUUCUCAACAUGAUAAAUCUAAGUUCUAGAUUUGAAAGGAAAAUCAAAAUAUAAAAAAAAGAAAACAAAAAAAAUAAGGUAAGGAAAAGUGUGUAAAACCUAAAAAAUUCAAGUUGGAAACUUUUUUUCUAGAAGUGAAUUUUAAAAAUUAAAAGGUUAAAGAAUUAAUAAGAAUUAUUUUUUACUAUUAUUAAUUUUUGAUUAAUCAUUAUAAAUUAAGAAUUAUAUUUUUUUAAAAAUAAGAGUUUUGGUAUGAAAACAAUUUUUUUUUUUUUAUAUUUAAUUAUAAUUUAUUGCCUUGAGGCCUCCAUCGAGCGAUCCUUUCGUCUUUCCAGCUUUCCCAUUUACUUGGCCUAUCCACUUUUUUCACGUAGUUUUGCUCUGGCCUUUUCAGCACUUGUCUAGCUUGUGAGUUAGGUUUCGCGUGCUUGAUGAUUUGGGGUUGUGCUUCCUCUGAGAUGUCAUUGUGUUGAUUGCUGGUCAGUUAAUAGUUUAUUUUAAUAUGCCUUGCCAUCCAUUUGUCUUGUUGAACCUUUGGAACAAAAAGUGUGGAAAAUAUGAAAAGCUCAUAUGGUGAUAAUUUUUGCAGCUUUGAGAGAUCUCUUUUUUCACUACACGGAAGCAUGGAAAUCAUGGUACACGGAAGUUGCUGGGAAGAAACCAUUACACAUCUCCUAGUUUUUUAUUACUGUGUCUCUGCUACCAGUACAGUAUAAGACACUCGAUUCUCUCUUUUCCUCCUCUCUUUUGUUCUUUUUUUUUUUUGUACUUUUUAGGAUAGAAAAAUGGCUUCUGGUCGGAUGCAUAUUCCCCGUGCACCAUCUUAGCGCGGCCAAACAAUGUUGUUUAUCUGAUGUUUCGAAGCAAAUGAAUUUGAAUAUACCGUCUUUUCUCCUUAGGUUAACUAGCUACAAAGUUGCUUCGGUUAUGCAAGGUAUCAUUUUGUUUUCAUGGGACAACAGCUGCAUUGCAAUAGACAAUACACUCAGACCUUUUCCUAUCUAUAACAUUUUCUUGGUCUUCUUGCUGUUUUGAUGCUCUUAUGAUGCUGGGAAUUAUAAAAGAUGAAAUUAGAGAUGAAUGUUCUGCAAAUGCACUGACACCACGUCGUGAGAAAAACGAGAUUAAGGUUUGGGUAACUUUGUUUUGGUGUUAAUGACGAGGGGCGAAUGCUUCUAAACCCUACGGUAGUGAGAUUUACGAACACCCAAAUGUCCUCUGUGUCUUCUUUGAAAGUGAGUACAACUUCGGACAACAAUGGAGAAUGGAAUAUCGUUAUUGCUCUAUGAUUCAAGUGAAGGAAAUCUGCAACAGAUAGAUGAGAAGCAUUUUCUCGUAUGUUCCCCAUCGGGCUUGCAGUAGCAUCGACUGCCAUGUCCGGAUUUCAUGUUUUACUGCUCGUGUACAAUGUUUAUCGAUCGCCAAAGGAGUACAAAUCAUCUUUUUAUCGGCACAUGAAGACAGCUCUUGCCUUGAUGAAAUAAAAAUGUACUAUAAUUUAUCCAUGUUUAUCGGCACAUGAAGACAGCUCUUGUCAAACUCGAAAUCAAAAUUUUUAUUAUUAUAAAUUGCAAAUGUCAAUUUACAUAUCGAUAAAUGUUUUAAAAAAAGGUGUCCCAGUAUAAGAAAGAGAGAUGGCAGAAAUCGGAGCUUUCAAGGUCUACUAUAAAAUAAUUUCGUCCUGAACACUAACAUCGAGUGUCUUGUAUGGGAGGACAAUGCUGUUAAUCACCACUACUUCAUCCUCAACAGUAACACCUUCGCCUGUAUCAAGGAAAAGAACACUGAGAUCGUGCAGAGAAAUAACUUGUCCAUAAAAAAAAGGAAAUAGACUAGUAAAGGGAAAUAAAUAGGGUUAAUGCAUAAAAAAUGUACCAAGGAUUGUAACCCCAAGCUUGGCAUUGUAAUCACCUUCAGCCUGUAACCAUUUCAUUGAACAUAAUAAGUCCUACCAUGCAUUAGAGGGAAGUCCGCAGAUAAAGGAAAUAUAUACCAUAGUGGUAAUAAGAAGAAUAAAAAGAUGCAUCAUAUCAGACACCACUUUGGAGAAGAAACAGAGGAGAGUUUCGGAUUAUCAAUGGAAGAAGGGGGAAAAAAUAACACGACAAUGAUAACAUUAAACAUGCAGAUACUAGAAUCGUAUCGCUGAUAUUGAGAAACAUUCCGCAAUACAAAUAUAAUGUCUGCCUUUGUUAUAUUGUCGGGAUACUGAUUGAAGUGAAUAACAUUUGGCAAGUAGCAAACAAGAGCGGCAAUCAUCCAACUAAAAUAUAACAGGAUAGUCUACUUGCCUGGACACGGGACCAUCUCCCAAUGGAAGAGUUCCACCCAACAAUUGAAUAAAUGACAACUGCAUUUUCCUGAGAGAUAAAACGAAGCAUACAAUCAAGUUUGAGACAUCUUAAGGGGCCCCUCCACAACCUCACCCUAAAAAGAUAUAAAGAUAGCAAAGUUAUUCAUGAUAAAUCUCUUAAUUCAGUUCCCUACCAUGACUUCAACGUUAUCUAGGAUGAUACACCUUAUGAGCCUUGCACCUGGUCCUAUACGAGCAUUGGCAGAUAUAGAGACAUUGGGACCAAUCUGUUUCAUCACAUUCCACAAAAAAGUCAAUUUCAUAAAUGAAUUAUAUGCAGGGAAAGAAGCAGUACAUAAAACAGGAAGGAGAAGUGCUACAGAAACAAAGAAAUCAUAACAACUGAUGUGGAGGUUGCAUUUUCAUGCUUGAUCAUUAUUUUAUUAUUUGUGAGACCCACAGUUUUACGACUUAUUGUUUGACACAAAUUUUUAUGGAAUCUUAAUAUGAUUUUUUGUUUGUAAAUCAUUUUCCGAUCCGAAAGGAAAAGAGUAAGCAACCAACAUUCCUUUUGCAUCAUAAUAGAUGGAUAAAGAAACUAUUAACAUUUUUAAAGGUGCCCUAGAGACCAAUGCACCUAAUUCCCAUCACCUAACCACCAUAGAGGGAUUUGACAAAAAGAAUACUGAUAAGAAUUCAAGCGGAUAAAAAACAGUACUGACUAAACCAUGAACAAAAAAAGAAAAAGAAGCCCUGACUAUCAUUGUACUAAAAGGAUUGCAUUGGCUAACAGUUCUAUUGUGUACGAAUAAUACCAGUAAGCAUUCAACCGGAUAAAAAAACAGUACUUGCUAAACUAUGAAGACGAAAUAAAAAGGGGCCCCAACUAAAACAUACUAAAAGGAUUGCAUUGGCCAUCAGUUCUAUUUUGUACCCAUAGAUCUGUUAUCAUAAACAAGAUGAAAAGAUUACCUUAGCAGUUGGAUGUACUUUUGCUGAUGGAUGUAUAUAAACAUCACCUUCAAUAGUAGCACUCUUUGAGCCAUCACCACCAGCCAAAAGAUGGGGUGAGGUGAAUUGGAAUUGGGCAAGAUAUAAACCAGAACACUUUAGAGACAUUCUGCAGUAUAAAUUUAGUGAAAAUGACAUAAGGUAACUGGUUAGAGAUGGCAAAGAAGAUCUAACAUAAGAUGUACAGAUUGACUUACCCAGGUGUUUUAAUUUGUUCCCAGAAGUCCAUGGUUUCAUACGUAUAUAGCUGCUUUUUUCCAGCGAGGGGUGACAGGAUAUCCUGAUCCAAUCUUACAUAAUCUGUUGGAAGACUCCUGUUAAGGGAACUUGGAUCAAAGCAGGAGCUUGUGGAAAAUAUUGGGUUCUAUCGAAUCAAUAAGUGAGCAAUAAAAAUGAUAUUAAUGCAUGUUGAGAAAGGAAAGAAAAUACUAAAACAGGACUUGGCUAAAACUAUCAAGGAUGUCUCUCCCAGAAUAGUAAUAUUAGAGAGAGGACAUAUACUGCAACUUAAACGAUAAAGUUCAUAUUACUGCAGGGAAUCUGUAUUCCAAUUGAGUUGUACAAAUUGAAUUUUCUUGUUACACAGAAGACCUGUUGACUACUUGACUCUUCAUACAAGUUCAAGAUGUGGUUGGCAAAUCCCAUGCCAGUAAACAAUCAAUUGUGACAAGAGAACAUUUCGAACACUAACUCUCCAAGUCACUCAUUUACAUAGAUAAGCAAACAAACAUAUGAUUAUUGUCAUGAAUAAGUCUAAAUUUUAGUCAAUUCAACGACUAAAGAGGCCCAAGAAAGAAAGAAAUAAAAUAGAUCCACUCUUAGUCACAAGAACUGUAAUUGAUGGUCUUCAAACCCAUGAGUUACUGCAGAUGCACAUGGAUUGUUCAAACAAUCCAUGAGAUGCUUAUGCAUCUUAUGGAUUGUUUGAAGAAAUCCAGUUAAGAGGCCAAAUGUAUUUUCAAAACUAAUUGGCAACUUUAAUGAGUUUAAAAAAAGUGGUAUAUUAAAAGAUUGGCGAAACAUUUGUUCAACUCCCUUUCAAUAAAUUUAUCAUAAUAGUUUAAAGUGAAAUUAUACUAGCAAUGCUCAGCCUAGAGUCAUUAAUUCCAAGAUUAAGGGAUGAAAAAGUACGUAAAGUAUGAACCACAUACCUUGUAGAAAAUUGGAGGGCUUCGAAGCUAGAAACACGUCUCAGAUUAGCUGAAAAUGGUAAAACAGAGUUCAGAAUUUUCCAAAAUCAAGACUCAAACUAUCGAUAAUUACAGAGAAUGCUAUCACAAUCUAAAAAAACAAGCCAGGAUAUGCCAAGCUUUAGGAUCAGAAUAUUUUUAGUUGAUGCAGAUUUUCACUAUGCACCCUUGUUAAAAGCCGAUACAGGCUAAACUAGUUUAUUAAAGAAAAGAACCACAGAAUUCUGGAACUUCUAAAUUAAUCUUACAAAGGCACCCUACAGGCAAAACACCAUAUCACAUACCUCUGUCUUUCCGUUGAGAAGAAACACCCUGGAUGGCUGUGAAUAUUUCUGGUGUAAAAACAUAAACACCACAAUUUAUCCGGUCACUUACCUACAUCAAAACAUAAUAUCAAACGAAUGAAGAGGGGGGAAAAGCAUAAUUGAGGGGAAUGGCAGUAAACAGUAACAGAAAUCACCAUUGGAUUCACUGCAAUUUGAAGCCUAUUGUACUUCAAUAAAUGAAAAUAAAAUAAAAUUGAUGUUUGGUUAUGUACUAAAAUUAAGUAUAAAAAAAGAUGAGAUUUUGCUAUCAAGCCUAAGCAAAAACUUCUUACCUUUAAAUGCAGAAGUAAGCUUUUCAAAAUUCAAUGACCAUACCUUCAGAUUAUAUGUAUUGGUUUUACUUAAAAAAAAACAAAAACAAAAAAGGGAUAACAACCAAGAAAGAUAGUUAAAAAAAAGCUUAAAAAGUUGAAUAAGAUCCUUCUUUGAUCAAUCAUUCAAGCAAAUAAUGAAAGUACUGAAAUUCCCUAAAUAAAAUGUGUUUCUGGACUGGUACUUACAAAAGUUUCAGGCUUCUCUGUGUAAUGCAACAACUCAUUGGUGUCAGGAUCAGCUACCAAUUCCCCAAACUGGCUGGCUGACUCAGCUGAGACCUGCAUGCAGAAAACAAUCAUGGAGACAAACAGAGUACAUCCUAUUGCUGGAGUACCAAACUCUGAACAAUUUUCCUAGGUUAUUAUCUUUUGCAUUCAACUAACCUUGAUUACUAGGAUAGUUCCCAUCCCACCAUAUGCUCUGUGGGCCUCUGCAAGCAUUGCAGGGGAAAUACAGUAAUUAAUGCUUCUGCUACAUAAAUAUAAACUACAAACUGUCUACACAAAAAGAAACCUUAGCUAAAAUAUAAUAAUGUACAUAAGACCAUUUUAUUUAUCUCGAUAUAAUCAUGGAAAUAUCUAAAAUUAAUGGUUCCAUGAGGAUGCAUAUGAUACCCUGAAGAGGAAUUUGCGAACAAGUUCAAAAAAAUUCAUGAAGUUCAAAACAAUCCAAUUUGGCAAAGUAGAUUACCAAGCAUUUCUGGGAGUGGAAAACUGCAGCAAACAUCACAAUUCAGCAGAAAGAUAUGGGACUGCGGCAAGAUAACCAAGCAUCAGUACUGAAUUUUUGGAGUACAAAUCAUCCAUCUAUAUCUGCAGAAAAUGCUAGCAACUACCGCAUGUUCACAUAAGAACAUGCAAAGAAAAUACUGUAAAAUAGGUGACAGGCGUGCAUGCUAAUAGAAAAGUUUAAGCUGAGAUGAAAACCGGGUUGUCUUCCAUGAUUAGAUCUCUGAAGUUAAAAAGCCCGCCAGCAGAACCAUGUGGCUUAUCUUCCCGCAAAUAUCUACAAGCACAGAUUGAUAAUUACAAAAAAAAAAAAAACUCAACUACGGAAUCAGAAGCAAAUAAUCAAGAAAGGCCAUCAAGUCACUUUACCUAAAAGACACUUUCAGCUCAUUCGAGAUUGAGGAAACAUACAAAGCAAACUCUCUUUCCUCGUAGAAACCAACAAGAUAGAUCUGUGUCAAGUUUGGAAUCUGA